This 118-nucleotide ribosomal RNA is filed under the name Peptostreptococcus canis. The record is from RNAcentral. Lineage: Bacteria; Bacillati; Bacillota; Clostridia; Peptostreptococcales; Peptostreptococcaceae.
UCGAAUGAUGACAGAAAAUUNGGAUACACCUGUUCCCAUUCCGAACACAGAAGUUAAGCUCUUUAGCGCUGAAGGUACUUGGCGGGAAGCUGCCCGGGAGAAUAGGACGUAGCUACGU